Hipposideros armiger (great roundleaf bat) is the source of this 443-nucleotide non-coding RNA. The record is from the annotation of a RefSeq genome assembly. Lineage: Eukaryota; Metazoa; Chordata; Mammalia; Chiroptera; Hipposideridae.
GGGCUGAGGUCUCUGGGGAAGGCAGAGCUGUGGUCUAGAAGAAGAUGAGGCUGCUGGGUCUUCUCCUGUGUCUGGUGACAGCUCCCCAAGGUGUCCUGUCCCAGGUGCAGCUGCAGGAGUCGGGGCCAGGACUGGUGAAGCCCUCGCAGACCCUGUCCCUCACCUGCACAGUCUCUGGUUACUCCAUCACAACGAGUUAUUCCUACUGGAGCUGGAUCCGGCAGCCCCCGGGGAAGGGGCUGGAGUGGAUCGGGCUCAUUGCUUAUGAAGGGAGCACAUACUAUAGCCCGUCCCUCAAGAGCCGCACCUCCAUCUCCAGAGACACGUCCAAGAACCAGUUCUCCCUGCAGCUGAGCUCUGUGACCUCCGAGGACACGGCCGUGUAUUACUGUGCGACAGCCAACAAAGUGGAAACAGUGUUUACAAUGAUGUAUCACCAGUGA